This 666-nucleotide long non-coding RNA is filed under the name Nicotiana benthamiana. RNAcentral's name for it is "long non-coding RNA (NBEN_LNC009745)". Lineage: Eukaryota; Viridiplantae; Streptophyta; Magnoliopsida; Solanales; Solanaceae. The record is from RNAcentral.
GUGGGUAAGCAGUGAGAAAAAUGAGGGGGCUAAGUGGACAGUGUAAAAUGAAAGUGACCAGGGGAAUAUUCCGGGUGCACCAAGUUGGUCGGAAUUGUGGGGGGAAAAAACUGUCCAAAAGGAGCCGCUGGAAAAAGUGACCGGAGAAGGCUCACGCGCGUGGCGCGUGGAUGUCGCUGGCGGCACGUGGGUGGUCAACGGCGGCGCGUGAGGCAGAUUCCGGCGACGAAAUUUGCAGGGGGUGUGCGCCUGACGUUGUGUGUCUCGGUGGUGUAGGAGGUUGUUGGACAAUACGCUUUACGCUAGAGGGGGGGUGAAUAGCGUUUUUAAAAAUAUUAAGCGUUUUAGUGCGGAAUUUAAAAUUUGCUUUGUUUGACAUUCAUCAAAACCUACAAAAGAACACACGUUUAGUAUAUUGCAUUUGAAACGUGUUUCCAACAGAGGUGUCGAAGAAAGAUCGCCGUAAGAGACCACUGUUGGCGGAAACUUUGCCGGAACAGUGUUCCGAGCAGAGAGAGAGAGAGGGGUACUUACCUGUAGGUUCCGGCGACUCGGAGGUGGUGCCGAUGGUGUUAACCAGAGAGAUGGAUGGAAGUUGAAGCCAAAGAGAGAGAGAGGGAGGAAGAGAGAGAAAGAGAAGGUAUUUUUUUGAUGAAGAGAGAGUAA